This 501-nucleotide ribosomal RNA is filed under the name uncultured bacterium. Its description in RNAcentral is "bacterial SSU rRNA". It matches the Rfam family "Bacterial small subunit ribosomal RNA", at positions 28 to 526 of the family's 1533-position model. The record is from RNAcentral.
GAUGAACGCUGGCGGCGUGCCUAACACAUGCAAGUCGAGCGAGAAACUUAAGAUUGAUCUUUCGAGUGAUUUCUUAAGCGGAAAGCGGCGGACGGGUGAGUAACGCGUAGGCAACCUGCCCUUUACAGGAGGAUAGCCUCGGGAAACCGGGAUUAAAACUCCAUGACACCGUAGUAACUCAUGGUACAUCGGUCAAAGAUUUAUCGGUAAAGGAUGGGCCUGCGUCUGAUUAGUUAGUUGGUGAGGUAACGGCUCACCAAGACAGCGAUCAGUAACCGACCUGAGAGGGUAAUCGGUCACAUUGGAACUGAGACACGGUCCAGACUCCUACGGGAGGCAGCAGUGGGGAAUAUUGCACAAUGGGCGCAAGCCUGAUGCAGCAACGCCGCGUGAACGAUGAAGGUUCUAUGAAUCGUAAAGUUCUGUUCUGAGGGAAGAAACAAAUGACGGUACCUCAGGAGCAAGCCCCGGCUAACUACGUGCCAGCCGCCGCCGUAAAAC